ACUCCUACGGGAGGCAGCAGUGGGGAAUUUUGGACAAUGGGGGCAACCCUGAUCCAGCAAUGCCGCGUGAGUGAAGAAGGCCUUCGGGUUGUAAAGCUCUUUUGUCAGGGAAGAAACGGUAGUAGCGAAUAACUAUUACUAAUGACGGUACCUGAAGAAUAAGCACCGGCUAACUACGUGCCAGCAGCCGCGGUAAUACGUAGGGUGCAAGCGUUAAUCGGAAUUACUGGGCGUAAAGCGUGCGCAGGCGGUUGUGUAAGUCAGAUGUGAAAUCCCCGGGCUCAACCUGGGAAUUGCAUUUGAGACUGCACGGCUAGAGUGUGUCAGAGGGGGGUAGAAUUCCACGUGUAGCAGUGAAAUGCGUAGAUAUGUGGAGGAAUACCGAUGGCGAAGGCAGCCCCCUGGGAUAACACUGACGCUCAUGCACGAAAGCGUUGGGAGCAAACAGGAUUAGAUACCCGUGUAGUCCCA
This 471-nucleotide ribosomal RNA is filed under the name uncultured organism. Its description in RNAcentral is "partial 16S ribosomal RNA". It matches the Rfam family "Bacterial small subunit ribosomal RNA", at positions 335 to 797 of the family's 1533-position model. The record is from RNAcentral.